UGAGCAACCUGCCCCUGACUCUGGGAUAAGCGGUGGAAACGCCGUCUAAUACCGGAUACGACCCGCCACCUCAUGGUGGAGGGUGGAAAGUUUUUCGGUCAGGGAUGGGCUCGCGGCCUAUCAGCUUGUUGGUGGGGUAACGGCCUACCAAGGCGAUUACGGGUAGCCGGCCUGAGAGGGCGACCGGCCACACUGGGACUGAGACACGGCCCAGACUCCUGCGGGAGGCAGCAGUGGGGAAUAUUGCGCAAUGGGCGAAAGCCUGACGCAGCGACGCCGCGUGGGGGAUGACGGCCUUCGGGUUGUAAACCUCUUUUACCACCAACGCAGGCUUCCAGUUCUCUGGAGGUUGACGGUAGGUGGGGAAUAAGGACCGGCUAACUACGUGCCAGCAGCCGCGGUAAUACGUAGGGUCCGAGCGUUGUCCGGAAUUAUUGGGCGUAAAGAGCUCGUAGGCGGCGUGUCGCGUCUGCUGUGAAAGACCGGGGCUUAACUCCGGUUCUGCAGUGGAUACGGGCAUGCUAGAGGUAGGUAGGGGAGACUGGAAUUCCUGGUGUAGCG
RNAcentral lists this ribosomal RNA (561 nucleotides) under Streptomyces sp. 10CM25. RNAcentral describes it as "bacterial SSU rRNA". It matches the Rfam family "Bacterial small subunit ribosomal RNA", at positions 118 to 680 of the family's 1533-position model. Lineage: Bacteria; Bacillati; Actinomycetota; Actinomycetes; Kitasatosporales; Streptomycetaceae. The record is from RNAcentral.